Non-coding RNA from Trichonephila clavipes, 73 nucleotides. NCBI's taxonomy places the organism in Eukaryota, Metazoa, Arthropoda, Arachnida, Araneae, Nephilidae. The record is from the annotation of a GenBank genome assembly.
GUCCCUGUAGCGCAAUGGAUAGCGCGUUGGACUUCUAAUCCAAAGGUCGUGGGUUCGAAUACCAUCUGGGAUG